This 447-nucleotide ribosomal RNA is filed under the name uncultured bacterium. RNAcentral describes it as "SSU rRNA". It matches the Rfam family "Bacterial small subunit ribosomal RNA", at positions 26 to 518 of the family's 1533-position model. The record is from RNAcentral.
AGAGCGAACGCUGGCGGCAGGCCUAACACAUGCAAGUCGAGCGCCCGUAGCAAUACGGGAGCGGCAGACGGGAUAGUAACACGUGGGAACGCGCCCUUCGGUUCGGAAUAACUCAGGGAAACUUGAGCUAAUACCGAAUACGCCCUUACGGGGAAAGAUUUAUUGCCGAAGGAACGGCCCGCGUCCGAUUAGCUAGUUGGUGAGGUAAUGGCUCACCAAGGCUACGAUCGGUAGCUGGUCUGAGAGGAUGACCAGCAUCACUGGGACUGAGACACGGCCCAGACUCCUACGGGAGGCAGCAGUGGGGAAUCUUGCUCAAUGGGCGAAAGCCUGAAGCAGCGACGCCGCGUGCGGGAUGAAGGCCCUCGGGUUGUAAACCGCUUUCAGCAGGGACGAAAUUGACGGUACCUGCAGAAGAAGCCCGGCCAACUACGUGCCAGCAGCCGC